Xenopus tropicalis (tropical clawed frog) is the source of this 280-nucleotide long non-coding RNA. RefSeq lists it as uncharacterized. Lineage: Eukaryota; Metazoa; Chordata; Amphibia; Anura; Pipidae. The transcript is spliced from 2 exons. The record is from RefSeq and is a predicted model, not a curated record.
UGAAUACCUGCACAGCAGAUUAAUAGUCGGUUUUAUAUUUCUAUUUCAGAUAAAUAACCCCCUUUGGUACUUAGCAGGGAUAGAUACAUUUUCUCUGUCUGCUGCGAGUAGGUAUCCAGUGGGACCUGUUUUUUCUACAGCACUGUGUCACUUUGGAUAUUGCAAACUACAAGCCACUUUUCUGCGAUGUUAAUAGAAACUACUAUAUCAAUAAUAGUUAAUAGAAACUAUUAUAUUACUUGACACUUUAUGAAUUUUGUAUAAAGAUUUUACACCCAUA